This is a long non-coding RNA of Tachysurus fulvidraco (yellow catfish), 603 nucleotides long. RefSeq lists it as uncharacterized. The transcript has 3 exons. The record is from RefSeq and is a predicted model, not a curated record. Lineage: Eukaryota; Metazoa; Chordata; Actinopteri; Siluriformes; Bagridae.
GUUCCGAAAGGGAACUUUGUAUGGUCUGGUUUUUAUCAGCAAUCAGCAGCCUAUGUUGCAUCCACAGGCUCUACACAAGGUGAAACCAGAGCCACGAACAUCAGAUGCUUGACCGUGUGUAACAGGAGAUAUGGGCUGGUGUAAUGCCGUGGGCAUGCUGAGUCGUUCUGGUGCUCAACUCUGCCCUGUGGGUGUGUGGUUCUCUGACAUGAUGAACGUACAGCUCUGUAAAAGCACAGAGUAGCUUAAGAUAAUCACACGUCUCUUGUUAAGAGGCACAACAUGUACAUAACCGCACCAGAGGGGUGUGUUGGUGCUUUUGACAUCUAAAGUGAUGCCAAUGUCACACUCACAAUGAGGUGGAACGGGACCUGAACUCCAGUGAUGUGUAUUUAAAACCUGUAAUUUUUUUUUUAAAUAAUAUAAAAAAAACUGCUUGGUUAAUUUAGCAUGAACAUUAUGGAGUUUUCACCAUAUCAGAGUUUUUAUUAUAUGUAAUGUUUAGGCAUUUUAAGAACCACUUUUGACUUGAUUUCUUGUUCCAGUUAUUAUUUAUUUCACAUGUGAUUUAUUCACACAGUUCAUUCAAAUUCACGUAAUGUU